RNAcentral lists this ribosomal RNA (656 nucleotides) under uncultured Bacteroidota bacterium. RNAcentral describes it as "bacterial SSU rRNA". It matches the Rfam family "Bacterial small subunit ribosomal RNA", at positions 8 to 672 of the family's 1533-position model. The record is from RNAcentral. Lineage: Bacteria; Pseudomonadati; Bacteroidota.
AGAGUUUGAUCAUGGCUCAGGAUGAACGCUAGCGGCAGGCCUAAUACAUGCAAGUCGAACGGUUGUAGUAAUACAAUAGUGGCGCACGGGUGCGUAACACGUAUGCAACCUACCUUAUAUUGGGGGAUAGCCUUUGGAAACGGAGAUUAAUACCCCAUAGCAUCGUGAUAAGGCAUCUUAUUACGAUUAAAGAUUUAUCGAUAUAAGCUGGGCAUGCGUCCAAUUAGUUAGUUGGCGGGGUAAUGGCUCACCAAGACGAUGAUUGGUAGGGGAACUGAGAGGUUAAUCCCCCACACUGGCACUGAGAUACGGGCCAGACUCCUACGGGAGGCAGCAGUAGGGAAUAUUGGGCAAUGGAGGCAACUCUGACCCAGCCAUGCCGCGUGCAGGACGAAGGCGUUAUGCGUUGUAAACUGCUUUUAUAUAGGAAGAAAGAGUUCUUGCGAGAACAGUUGACGGUACUAUAUGAAUAAGCACCGGCUAACUCCGUGCCAGCAGCCGCGGUAAUACGGAGGGUGCAAGCGUUGUCCGGAUUUAUUGGGUUUAAAGGGUGCGUAGGCGGUUUAUUAAGUCAGUGGUGAAAGACGGUCGCUCAACGAUUGCAGUGCCAUUGAUACUGGUAGACUUGAGUGAAUUUGAGGUAGCUGGAAUGGAUA